GCUUGAUAGGUCAGUUGGUUAGAGCGUGGUCCUGAUAAUGCCAUGGUUGCAGGUUUGAUCCCCUUAAGGGACA
Non-coding RNA from Podarcis lilfordi (Lilford's wall lizard), 73 nucleotides. The record is from the annotation of a GenBank genome assembly. NCBI's taxonomy places the organism in Eukaryota, Metazoa, Chordata, Lepidosauria, Squamata, Lacertidae.